RNAcentral lists this long non-coding RNA (5349 nucleotides) under Ananas comosus (pineapple). RNAcentral's name for it is "long non-coding RNA (ACOM_LNC005298)". Lineage: Eukaryota; Viridiplantae; Streptophyta; Magnoliopsida; Poales; Bromeliaceae. The record is from RNAcentral.
AAUCUGCCGCAAAUAUAGGGAGUCCACUGUUCACACGGACAGAGUCUCCUCUGUAUUUGCACGGCAUCGUACAAGUACAAGAUACAUAACACAGGAUACAACCACCACAUAUGAACAUCCACAUAUUCAUACACCAUUCACAUUCACAUUCACAUUCACAUUCAGAAUUAUCCAUAAAUCCAUAAUUAUUAGUUUAAAAUGUUUCCUGCCUGGAAACUCGUUUUAAAACACUAAGUCAUGAAAACCAAGAAAAAUCUUUUAAAAACUGUUUUCCAUAUGAAAACCUUUUUCUUUUAAAACUCGUUACCACGAAGGGUAGAAAACUAUUUUCAUUUUGCAAGAAUCAUAAAUCCUUUAUUACAUUCAUAAAAUCCAAUUAUUCAAUUAACAUGAAAUAUUGAACCAUAAAUGUUGUCUAAGUUAUUUAUUGAAGGAAACUAAGUUUAAGAGUUUAAACCAAAUAACGGGACGGUGGCUCUACUGAUCACUAAGUACGCUCCUCAAUAUUCGCCCCACUAGAACCCGCGACGUUACCUGUAAUGGGGGUAGGGGUGAGAAUAUGUACACAUGUCUCCCCUCCCAGUGGGUACCGCAAGCCGACGAGGGCGAGGGUACUCACGAAUCACGGAGGAUAAUAACAAGUAUAGAUAAUGGUAAUACAGUAGUAAUGAUAAACAAAAAAAACGAGAUGUAUAUAUGAAUCACUACCGCUACUGUAUGUAUGCAUCAACUGGACGACUAGUCCAAAAGUACCCAAUAAAAAAUAAGCCAUAUUGGUCCGCACACCUCAGGCUUGUGCCACACUUGCUCUUAUAUAUAAAUGAUCCUCGCAUAAGCACCCGGGUCUAAAAGCAUAUGACCCUCGCAUAAAGCACCCGAGUCUGAAAGCAUAUAACCCCUCUUGGGCUCACGGGCUGGCACUCCAACCACUUUUUCGAAAAAAAACACUCUCUUGCGGUGAAUCAGACUUCUGGUGUUUGUAAAAUGCAUACGAGCAGUGGCGAUCGAUGCAGAUAUGCUCAAUAGCCAAACAUCGGCAACUAGCUGACAAUCCAACCCCUCAGGGUAUACUGACCGCGUAAGUCACCAAGUAGUCCAACUGACCAAGUAGAUCACAAUAAUAGAUGUAGUGAAUCGAUCGAAUAGGUCACAGUACGAGAUACAAGAACAGACCGACUAGGUCACAAAACAUUGGCAACUAGCCGACAAUCCAACCUUAUACACUAAUACAUACCGCGAUAAUCAAAGCCAAUAGCUAGGCUCUAGCCGCUCAUCAACCAAGAUUCCGAACCUCCCGGCAAAAGCUGAGACCACCAACCAACGCAAACCUUUUAGUUGUGCAAGACACAACUAAAGAGCUAACGAGCACCUAGACUCGAACCAGAGUCAAUACCUUCUGCGGUGAUGAUAAAUCAGCCGCGCAAAAACCCUCCACGUGGUCAGAGAUGACCAACACUUCAGCUUUUCCACAAGACAAUCUAUAGAGAUUGUCUUGCAAGAGACAACACCGACCCAAUCCAAAAGUCCCAAACGAGAUAUGGGUAUUUCAUCCAAACUUUUGACAGUACAUUGUCUGCAGCCAAUAUACUUACCAAAAGAAAACCAAAAUACUCGAAGAUCCACUGCCAACAACAAGUUGGGAGCGCGACACAUUGAAGUAUCAAGCCACCUGAUACCUCUUUACUGAACCCAAAAAUUUUCAACCAAAUCGUCGAAACAUCGAUUUUGCAAGUCGACAUUCGAAAUCAGAUCAACCUUGAACUGAUUCACUAGGAGUCCCUUAGCUUUCAGCAUGCAAAAGCUGCUAGCGACACUAAGCCGCGAACUGCAUAAAUUGUGGCUUUAGGAAACGAUUUAUCUAACCAAUUUUCGCACCACAACUGAAUAAUAGUCAACACUCCGACAAUACACUAGAGUAUCUCGAGUAAAGACGGAUCCUACCAAAACACUGACUAACCCACAACACACCAAUUUAGGUGUUGGAAUAACUGCAUACGAUGUAUGCAUUAACAGAGACCUGACACCAAAACUGUGUCUAUCCAGUUCUAGUACACGUCAAUUUGAUGUAUGAACUAGUUAAAGGUCAAAAGACCCACACCGACGAUUCCACUAGCCAUCAAGAAAGAGAGGUAGGCAUCACAACCCUACCCCAAAAAUCUGUGGAAAGAACACCAACAUUGUAGUCGCAUAAACGACCGCUAUCAAAACCCUGGACUACACCUUAGCAGCCUUACAGAAGUCGCGACCGUAACAGGUCUUAGUGUCGUCUCCGUAGAGACACUCACAGUAGCUCUCGUGCCCUAAGUAGGAAGAGUGGCCUGGGCGUCGGCAGUUAAGACACUCGCUGUCACGCCCCGAGCCCUGCCUAUUUGGCCGAGUUCGGGCGCGUCGACAGACCGCCGAACGGACAGAGUUUCCCCUGUACGUCCUAGGCGUCGCAAUCAAUAUAAUGAACAUUACAAGGGUUCCAACCAGGAACAGAUAUCAAUCAAGAUUGCAUAGCGGGAGGUAUCAAAAACAUAACACAUCCUAUGUUAUUACAAGCANAACAGAUUGUUUCAUCAAUAACUUCGCGUACGCUCGUCGGAUUGUCGAACCGAGCGCACCAACGCGUUCGUUAUACCCCCAAUUAGGUUUGUAUAGGGUCAAUUGAGAUCAAAACCCCUCACAAGCAAAAGCCCUCUUUUUGGAGCCCUAGAUGCAAUUAUAGCAAAAUACUCCAAUUCAUCUCAUGAAUCAAGCAUAAACCAUCUAUUAAGCUUGCUAGAAAUCCAAUUAAACCAUUUCUAGAGAUCAAAUCCCUACAUCUAGGGAUUUACCAUGAGAGGGCUAAGGGCUUACCUCUCCAAAGCUUGCUCCAAGGUGAGGAAGAAGAUGGAGGUGAUGAAAACCUCCUCCUUGAUCUUCUUCUCCUUCUUAUUCUUCUUCUUCUUCUUUCUCUUCUUCUUCUCUUCUUCUUCCUCUUUUCGUUUAGAGAGAGAGAGGGAGAGAGAAAUGUGAGGGAGUGAGAGGAAUGAGAGAAAGAGAGAGAGAAAGAGCUCUCAUAACCCCCUCUCAUAUUAUAACAUUUCUAAAUAAGCCCCCCAACUCUUCUAGCCUUACAACAGCCCAAACUGGGCAUUUUUCGCGUUCUGAGACCGGUCCUUGCGGUGAGAGACCGGUCCCCGAAAGGCCAGAAUUUCAGCAUUUUAGGACUUAGCCAAAUUUCAGCCUUUUUCGUUUUCGGGGUCCGUUUUCGCUCGUUUUUGCUCGUUUGACCUCCGAUUCGUCUCAAAUCGAACCGAGACUCUCCAAACAUGUUCUCGAGCGUAUUUUCAUCAUCUUUUCACCCACGCUAAUGCCGGAUUUAGCUCACGGCCCAACAUAGCCUUUCGGGUCUCGUUUCCGCGCCUAUGCGCACCGAAGUGCCCGAACGCUUCCGAGCUUCACCGAACUUCACCCGAACCAUUCAAAUGGCUUCCUAGCCUCAUGUAAACCGUAACUUCAUAGUUUUAGAAGUCCGAUACCUUACACUCGCCUAGGCCCAAAAAUCACUGGCCUUUCAAGGCCCCACCUGAUAGGAGUGGCUACACCUGGUGAACGUCACCCAGCCACUGGAUGUCUCUAUAUCUACACCGCCACUACUCCUGACUGCAACACGAGUUGUGCGAAAAUCGUAGCACGUACAAAAAACCACCAUGACUCACAUCAAAAACUAUGUCCCUUCCAAUUUGUUUAGCAUUGAUAUCAAGGAUUACCAUGACUAUUAACGAGAAGAUAAUAGGAAUGCAGGUAAGCAUGGUACGUACAACAGUUCAAGAGACUUCCAUAAUUAAUCAAGGUAACCACGUAAACUGAAAUUCAUACCUGAGCUCCCGCGUAUGGGCACAUUCAUCGGUUGAGUCAAAUCAGAAACAAGUCCGCCAACUGCUUGCAGCGAAGUCACCAGAGGAGAAGUCGCAUCCCGCAGCGGUCCAUUACCCCUAGGGCAAUCUCGACGUAAAUGACCCGACUGACCGCAUCGAUAACAACGGUCCCGACGUCGAAGGCAGGAGGUCACCCGAUGCGCUUGACCGCUGCUCGAUGACCCACCCUCCACAUUUAAACGAGGCCGCUUUCUGAAUGCAUUUUCGUUCGAACUCCCUUUCAGAACAAAGUCCACCCGUUUGUUCGAGGGCUCUGACGAUUUACCAAUCUUAAAUUCCGUCAAGUUCCCUCUCACGCGGGCUAGCUCUAUGGCCAGAGGGUCAACGCCCUCGGUAGAAAUAGUGGAUGUCGCCAUGCUAGGUAUAAUGUCAGUAGCGCCCAUGAAUCUAGGGCCAUCCGUCACCAGCAUAACUCCUGUGACCACCGUGGCUGACGUAGGUACGAUCGUCGUGGCACCCAGAAAUGACACUCUAGUGGCUUAAUCACCAGGAGGUCCAUUAACUGCCUCGCAGGCCAUAUCAACAACAUUACUCGCAGCAAUACCUGCAUUCGUGCCCGACGACGGAGCCUAAACCACUCCAGCUGCAGCCUGCUGCUGCAACACCUACUAGACUAAACCGGCCAGUGCAGCCAACUGCUCCUCCAACCGUCGGAGGCCGUGCACAACAGUAGAAGCCUCAACGUUAGCACGUUGUCUCUCUCCACUGCGUGUCAUGUGUUGAAACAGAUAGGGUUAGAGUCAAAUUAAAAAUGAACCGACUCAGCUCUAUUUACCAUGACUCAAACCCAACCAACCCCGCACUCUCGCGUGCCUAUAUACCGUAGGUCUUUCUAUCGGUCAACCUAACCAAUGGUUCAGUUUAUUUAUUUUUUUAAAAUAACCUGUGAAUGGUGCCGUGGUUGUAACUUGUCUCUGAUAUCACUUUAAUCUGUCAUACCCCGGGGUCUCUUUUUGAUAUACAUUCAAUGUGGAAGUGCCUAAAUUUUUUUUUUUUUUUUUAAAACCUAACCCCCAGGGUAUGCCAGAUCCGCCACAAAUAUAGGGAGUUCACUGUUCACGCGGACAGAGUCUCCCCUGUAUUUGCACGGUGUCGUACAAAUACAAGAUACAUAACACAGGAUACAACCACCACAUAUGAACACCCACAUUUCAUACACUAUUCACAUUCACAUUCAGAAUUAUCCAUAAAUCCACAACUAUUAGUUUAAAAUGUUUCCUACCUGAAAACUCGUUUUAAAACACUAAGUCAUGAAAACCAAGAAAAACUUUUAAAAAACUGUUUCUCACACGGAAACCUUUUCCUUUUAAAACUCGCUACCACGAGGGGUAGAAAACCAUUUUCAUUUUGCAAGAAUCAUAAAUCCUUUAUUACAUUCAUAAAAUCCCAAUUAUUCAAUUAACAUGAAAUACUGAACCAUAAAUACUAUCUAAGUUAUUUAUUG